GGGCGUGUGGUGUAGUGGUAUCACGUCUGCUUUGCAUGCAGAAGCUUCCGCGCUCAGUUAUGGCACGUCCG
This is a non-coding RNA of Perkinsus olseni, 71 nucleotides long. Lineage: Eukaryota; Perkinsozoa; Perkinsida; Perkinsidae. The record is from the annotation of a GenBank genome assembly.